RNAcentral lists this unclassified non-coding RNA (21 nucleotides) under Chlamydomonas reinhardtii. RNAcentral's name for it is "small RNA Cre_0734". Lineage: Eukaryota; Viridiplantae; Chlorophyta; Chlorophyceae; Chlamydomonadales; Chlamydomonadaceae. The record is from RNAcentral.
AUGCAAUGGGGGCACCGGCGG